This 387-nucleotide ribosomal RNA is filed under the name Triticum aestivum (bread wheat). Its description in RNAcentral is "partial small subunit ribosomal RNA". Lineage: Eukaryota; Viridiplantae; Streptophyta; Magnoliopsida; Poales; Poaceae. The record is from RNAcentral.
AUGCAGCUGCGUAUACUGUACUUGUGCAGCAGCAGUAAUGAAAUCUUGAAUUGUAUGCUUGCCUUGCCUCCUUGCUUCCAGGAUUCUUGGUCGUUUGAGUUGCUUCUCAACAAAAUUGAUAUGAUAGUAGCAUAUCUGCUUAUACAUUGUCAUGUUUGUCUGGUCCACACUUCAACUAUUAGCACAAUGCAUGGUGUGGAUGUUGCAUAUUCAAAUGGUUUCAGAGAAACCAGAAUUUGGAUGCAGAAUCCCAUUUGUGGCAAGGCUCGGAAAAGAACAAAUGAAAAUACACCGCGCAGUAGGAAUCUACGAGUAGAAAAUAAACAGACACCAUGGUUACUUUGUACAGACAAUAAAGCUUAUGGCACCACUUUCCUUCCGCAAUAA